UUUUAUGUGUUUUUGUUGUCAAAGUCAAAUCUUGAGUUGCAAGGUUGAAAAAGCUUUUUAGUGGACAUUUGAUUUAGAAUUCUAGCACUCAAUUUCACUCCCUAUUGAUUUGAACAAGUUUGUAUAGUGGAAACACUUUGAUCUGGGCUGAAUUGAGUGUUUAGAAAUGUCUAAAAUCAAAAGUCAAAGUUGAGUUGGACCAUUUUUCUGUUCUACAGAAUUCUGCAGCAAAUCUGCAUAAUUGGCGUUGGGCGCCACUUAUCUCACGCCCAGCGCCAUUUCUCCCUCCUAUUGGGUGAGAAACAACAGCAAUCCACGCCCAGCGCCACUUAUCUCACGCCCAGCGUGAAUGUGCAGACUUUGAGUCUGACUUGGGCUGAUCUGCAUAUGGCCCAUUUGGCCCAUUUUCUUCAUUAUCUCAUCCAGCCUCUGUGCCUCACUCACACGUAUUCAACCCUCCUCUCUGAUUUUUACACCUUCACUCUCACUCUCUCACGACAUUACCCAUUCCUUCUCUCCACCAUCAACAACUUAGGCCACUCACCCAAUACCCCACAAUUUGUUGCCACUGCACACACCCUUUGCUCCCCAAACAAAUCCCUAUCACACUCUUAACCCACUCACGUUCACCACUAUCUCUCAACCCACCACCUCUACAUUUUUCUCAAUCCCUCUCAAGCCCCUCUCAUUUUUUCCCUUUCCCCAUAACCAACAUUCUCCUUCAACCCACUCACGUCACCACACUCUCUCUCGCCCCAACCACCAACACAUCAUGUUUCCCCCCUAAACCUCCACUGCCCA
This 801-nucleotide long non-coding RNA is filed under the name Vigna radiata. Its description in RNAcentral is "long non-coding RNA (VRAD_LNC000764)". Lineage: Eukaryota; Viridiplantae; Streptophyta; Magnoliopsida; Fabales; Fabaceae. The record is from RNAcentral.